AGUGGGAUAGCUGGGCCAAAUAGUUUUUGACCCAAGUUUUCCAAGGAAUCUCCAUACUUCUUUCCAUAUUGGCUGCACCAAUUUGUAGUCCCAAUAGCAAU
This 101-nucleotide microRNA precursor is filed under the name Marmota monax (woodchuck). Lineage: Eukaryota; Metazoa; Chordata; Mammalia; Rodentia; Sciuridae. The record is from RNAcentral.